Molecule: ribosomal RNA, 846 nt
Filed under: Actinomycetota bacterium
Lineage: Bacteria; Bacillati; Actinomycetota
Description: bacterial SSU rRNA
Rfam family: Bacterial small subunit ribosomal RNA
Source: RNAcentral
AUGCAGUCGAACGCAACCCUUUGGGGUUGAGUGGCGAACGGGUGAGUAACACGUGGGUAAUCUGCCUUGCACUUUGGGAUAAGCCUGGGAAACUGGGUCUAAUACCGGAUACGACCAUGUCACGCAUGUGGUGUGGUGGAAAGCUUUUGUGGUGUGAGAUGAGCCCGCGGCCUAUCAGCUUGUUGGUGGGGUGAUGGCCUACCAAGGCGACGACGGGUAGCCGGCCUGAGAGGGUGUCCGGCCACACUGGGACUGAGACACGGCCCAGACUCCUACGGGAGGCAGCAGUGGGGAAUAUUGCACAAUGGGCGGAAGCCUGAUGCAGCGACGCCGCGUGAGGGAUGACGGCCUUCGGGUUGUAAACCUCUUUCACCAAGGACGAAGCGGGAGUGACGGUACUUGGGGAAGAAGCACCGGCUAACUACGUGCCAGCAGCCGCGGUAAUACGUAGGGUGCGAGCGUUGUCCGGAAUUAUUGGGCGUAAAGAGCUCGUAGGCGGCUCGUUGCGUCUACCGUGAAAACUGGAGGCUUAACCUUCAGCUUGCGGUGGAUACGGGCGGGCUUGAGUUCGGUAGGGGAGACUGGAAUUCCUGGUGUAGCGGUGAAAUGCGCAGAUAUCAGGAGGAACACCGGUGGCGAAGGCGGGUCUCUGGGCCGAUACUGACGCUGAGGAGCGAAAGCGUGGGGAGCGAACAGGAUUAGAUACCCUGGUAGUCCACGCUGUAAACGUUGGGCGCUAGGUGUGGGUGACAUCCACGUUGUCCGUGCCGUAGCUAACGCAUUAAGCGCCCCGCCUGGGGAGUACGGCCGCAAGGCUAAAACUCAAAGGAAUUGACGGGGGCCCGC